UGCCUCUAGAAUACGGGCAAAAGGUUAAGGUCAACAAAUCGUUGCACGAUGAAAGUCAGCAGGCAGGGCACCCGAUGGCUCUUGCGAGCUGUCUUUGGCAGCCGGGUCCUCAGGGCUCUGGGCCGGAGUGGGGCCAACCAUGCUUCUCAGCAGGAGGUCCGGAGAAAGGCUGUCCUGAGGUUUUGCUGCUUAUAAAGCCCUGCCAAUUAUGGUCUGCCAGAGUCGCUUCUUCCUGUGGUAUGCUGCGCUGUAGAGAGGGACUCUGAAAUUCAGAAUAAGCAGCGUGUUCCUGUAGUCCGUCGUCCUGUUCAAGAGAAAAGAAAAACCCGUGGAAAUGAGGUGGAUGAAAAGUUUGAGACCUGUAACGUCUGUAAAACUGCACCUCUAGAGGAAAACGUUGAAAAUAUAGAGUCAACCACUCACAUUGUAUGUGGAGAGGAAUAAGUUUGUUGCUUUAUGGGGAAUGCAAGUCAGUUAAAAUAUAACCGCGUGAUCAAGUCA
This is a long non-coding RNA of Hipposideros armiger (great roundleaf bat), 501 nucleotides long. RefSeq lists it as uncharacterized. The transcript is spliced from 2 exons. The record is from RefSeq and is a predicted model, not a curated record. NCBI's taxonomy places the organism in Eukaryota, Metazoa, Chordata, Mammalia, Chiroptera, Hipposideridae.